Molecule: long non-coding RNA, 1352 nt
Filed under: Anas platyrhynchos platyrhynchos (common mallard)
Lineage: Eukaryota; Metazoa; Chordata; Aves; Anseriformes; Anatidae
Description: lncRNA (ENSAPLG00000024497.1)
Source: RNAcentral
AAAGGGUUUAUUAAAAACAAACAAACAACAACAACAACAAAAUGUUUAACCAAAAAUUGUAGAAAAGCUCAGUAUUUAAAUGAAACAUCUGAACAUAUUAUUUCCUAGGGUCAAAGUGUCCAGUAAACAGGACUCUUCUAUGUAGGAGGCUAUGUUUACAGUCACAUAGUCAUUCUGGGUUGAAAAAUGCAGAGUAAUUAUCUUGCUAAGUGUUAUAUAUCACUUAAGUGGUAGAGCUAAUGUUAUAAAUUAAAGUCCUGUGCACAGAAGCUUCAAAAAUACAGAUCAUAUGAUACCCAGUAAUUUCAUUUAGUUUGUGUAAUGGUUAAAUUCUAACAUGAGACUAAAACACCAUAAUCUCUGGAAAGAGAAAGAACUGAAUUAAAUAAAAGCUUGCAUAUAGGUGCAUCGAUGCUACUCAUUCAGCAUGUUCAAGAGAUUAAUUUAUAUGGGGCCUGAUGCAGUUGUGAACUAGCUUGUUUGUUUUCCUAGUGUUCUCUGUAUGCCUUAGUUCAAUUUUAAUGAGAGAUUUGGAGGAAAAUGCUCAUUUUUAAUGAUAUUUUUGGAACUUCAGAAAGAAUUCAUGAGGCUUCCUUGUAUGGUUUAUGAUUAAAUACCUCAGUAACACAUACAUUUUUCUUCUUCGGUAAGUUUAUGUAUUGUGUUUUAUAGCCAGUAUCUAAGACACCAUGAAACUUCCAUCACUUCUUGGAGCAGAAAUAACCCUGCUGAAACAAACCCAGGGGGUGAGGGUGACACUGAAGUUUUUUUAUCUGUAAAACUUUCAAAAUAUGUACAAAGCUAGAAUCUGCAGUGUAUUUAAUAAAGCCAGAUCACAGUCUCACAGUGAAUGGACACUUUUUGUUCGGUUAUGUUAAAUACUGUGUCUCAAUAUACAGAGAUAACCCGUAUAUGUUUAUUUGAGAGGCUAACAAUAGUUUAAGAAGCCCAUCAUGAAAUAAUGUAAUGCUAUGAGAAACAAGGGUGUUUCUGAUGCAACAUUAUACUUAGAUCUGCCUUACAAAAUAAGAGUUGCUCUCAUGUCUAGGGAAUAUUUAGAAAAAAAAAAAAAACAAAAAACCAAAAAAACAUUUUGCUAUGUGGAGUUUAAGCAGGAGUUUGGUAAUGUAGGUCACUAGUCAAGGCCUGUGGUAGCUGAGUAUAUCUAUUCCACCUCUGUGGGACCUUUCUUAUCCCCUCUCAAGGACAUGAAGUUUCUGGCCUUACUAAGGGGAAGAUGGUUUUGGCCACAUUUCUUCCAGUACAGGAAGAAAAGACAGUCACAUGUGAAAUUCCAAAUACUAUGGGCUUUCUCUCUGUCUGUUAUGCUAUGUACAGCCCAGGCUUUUUCU